This 391-nucleotide ribosomal RNA is filed under the name Ischnocnema parva. Its description in RNAcentral is "partial 16S ribosomal RNA". It matches the Rfam family "Bacterial large subunit ribosomal RNA", at positions 1846 to 2472 of the family's 2925-position model. The record is from RNAcentral. Lineage: Eukaryota; Metazoa; Chordata; Amphibia; Anura; Brachycephalidae.
UAGGAGGUCCAGCCUGCCCAGUGACAUCAGUUCAACGGCCGCGGUAUCCUGACCGUGCGAAGGUAGCGUAAUCACUUGUCUUCUAAAUUAAGACUAGUAUGAAAGGCAUCACGAGAGUCAAACUGUCUCCUCUCUCUAAUCUGUGAAACUAAUCUCCCCGUGAAGAAGCGGGGGUUUAAAUAUAAGACGAGAAGACCCUGUGGAGCUUCAGACAAAAAUACUGCUGCCCUCACCAGCAUCCUAGUAUCAAGUCUUAGGUUGGGGCGACCACGGAGUAAAAACUAUCCUCCAUGCUGAACAGGACCUCCUUAAACAAGAGCCACAGCUCUACGAAUCAACAAAUUGACACACUUGACCCAAUUACUUGAUCAACGAAACAAGUUACCCCAGG